UACGUAGGGACCGAGCGUUGUCCGGAAUCAUUGGGCGUAAAGAGCGUGUAGGCGGCUUGCUAAGUCCUGCGUGAAAUCUCGGGGCUCAACCCCGAGCGGUCGUGGGAAACUGGCAGGCUAGAGUGCGGCAGAGGCAAGUGGAAUUACUGGUGUAGCAGUGAAAUGCGUAGAUAUCAGUAGGAACACCAAUGGCGAAGGCAGCUUGCUGGGCCAUUUCUGACGCUAAGGCACGAAAGCGUGGGGAGCGAACAGG
This 253-nucleotide ribosomal RNA is filed under the name uncultured bacterium. RNAcentral describes it as "partial 16S ribosomal RNA". It matches the Rfam family "Bacterial small subunit ribosomal RNA", at positions 524 to 776 of the family's 1533-position model. The record is from RNAcentral.